UGGCUCACGGGUGCGUCAUCCAUCGGAACGUGUCCUGGUAGUGGGGGAUCGCCCGGCUAAAGCCGGAUUAAUACCGCAUACGCUCUGUGGAGGAAAGCGGGGGAUCUUUCGGGACCUCGCGCUCAAGGGGCGGCCGAUGGCAGAUUAGGUAGUUGGUGGGGUAAAGGCCUACCAAGCCGACGAUCUGUAGCUGGUCUGAGAGGACGACCAGCCACACUGGGACUGAGACACGGCCCAGACUCCUACGGGAGGCAGCAGUGGGGAAUUUUGGACAAUGGGCGCAAGCCUGAUCCAGCAAUGCCGCGUGUGUGAAGAAGGCCUUCGGGUUGUAAAGCACUUUUGUCCGGAAAGAAAACCUCUGGGUUAAUACCCCGGGGGGAUGACGGUACCGGAAGAAUAAGCACCGGCUAACUACGUGCCAGCAGCCGCGGUAAUACGUAGGGUGCGAGCGUUAAUCGGAAUUACUGGGCGUAAAGCGUGCGCAGGCGGUGAUGUAAGACCGAUGUGAAAUCCCCGGGCUUAACCUGGGAACUGCAUUGGUGACUGCAUCGCUCGAGUAUGGCAGAGGGGGGUAGAAUCCACGUGUAGCAGUGAAAUGCGUAGAGAUGUGGAGGAAUACCGAUGGCGAAGGCA
This 633-nucleotide ribosomal RNA is filed under the name Burkholderia sp. Ms226. Its description in RNAcentral is "bacterial SSU rRNA". It matches the Rfam family "Bacterial small subunit ribosomal RNA", at positions 96 to 723 of the family's 1533-position model. The record is from RNAcentral. Lineage: Bacteria; Pseudomonadati; Pseudomonadota; Betaproteobacteria; Burkholderiales; Burkholderiaceae.